GAGCUGCCUGCCUGCCAGGACAGGGACAGGUGGUGGCCAGGCCUGAGGUCUUGUCCGCCCCCAGCUGUCCAGACCCGGGGGCCACAGCAGGCAGCCUGGACGGGCUGUGAGCCAGGUGACAGGAUGGGCCUUGCUUCGCUCCCGCUGCUAUUGAACAUCUGGAGCUGAUAAACGGCCCCAAGACGGCCCCACACCCUCGCGAUGGAGCCCGCCCUUCAGCGAGCUUGGCGUGCCUUGACGAACUCCUGCUCAUCCUUCAAACUCAGCCCCACUAUUUCCUUCUCCAAGAACUCUUUCCCCUGGGACUUCCCUAGACACCCCCUUCACUUGGCCAAGCCCUGUCCUCAUCUCCGUCAGGUUCUUUUCUGUUGUUUGUUUUUUGAGACAAAGUUUUGCUAUGUAGUCCACGUCGCCCUGGAACUCAUCACACAGCUCAGUCUGGGCUAAAACUGGGGCUCCUCCUGCCUCAGCCUCCUAGAGUGCUAAGAUGAUAUGUGGGCGGGUGCCACCGUGCCAGCUAGCUUGUGUGGACGAGAGGGCCCCUCCUGGCCCCAGCAUGGCCAGUUUCUUCUUUCUCCUGCCAGGGAGUACCCGAACACCCAUUCCUGCCCCUCCAUCUGUCCCAGCCCUGAUCCCUCAAUGCAGGGGCAGCUGGGUCCAGCUCUGGCCUCCCAGGCUGGGGGUUCCUGGGCGGCGUGGCAACUGGACCCCCCACCAGUCCCCUCAGAGGGGCUACCUGGCCCAUCUGGCACAGGCGUGGCCUCAGGGGGCUGAGGGGGCCCCUGCAGAAGGAGAGGCUGAGCGAAUCACCCCAUGACAAUGAUGGGCCAUUAGGGUCCCUGCAACAGAAACUGCAGUGAGCUGGGUCCUGUCACCACAGCAUUCGGGAGGCUGAGGCUGGAAGAUCUAGAGUUCGAGGCCAGCCUGGGCUGCAUAGGGAGACCCAGUCUCAAACCGAAACAUAGGCACUCGUGGCUCGGUCAGAGCUUUCCGUCUUUAUCUCAGUGCCCAGAAAUCAUCGACAGUCAGCUCUGCAAAACCGGGAGCCUGGGAGGCGGAGCGUGAGGGCUGCCGAGGGGGCCCCUCCUGGGGCAGCCACAGGACCCCCAGGCGGGCGCGUCCUGCCUCGCGCAUUCCUGAGGAUCGGGUUACGGCCGGCGCCGCCUCCUCCGCCCGCUUCCGCCUUGCCGGCUUCCCCCGCCGUCCCCACCCACGCAGGUGUUCCCGCGCCACGCAGGGGUCCCGAAGUCUGCCUGCUGGCUUGGCGCUGCCUCCUUCCUGCCUCGGUUUACAAAUGAGGAAACUGAGGUGCAGCCAGGCCCGCACAGCGGUGGUAGAACCGGCUUGAACCUGGCAGAUCCUGCUUUUUGACCCCAGUCCCCUUGUUUCUCUCCAAUCCUCCAGCAGGCUGUGCUGGCCCAGCCUCCUCCAGCUCAGGAGAGCGGCGCAGUCAGGCCGGUGUUUGUUGACAGACUGACUGACCGUCCGGAGGGAGCCCCUAAAACAAGGCCUGAAUGUUCCCUGACAACCCCCAGUCUGUCUUAGCUUCAAUAGAAACAGAGCGAAAGGGAACCUUCGAGUCCUCAGCUUCUCUUGCCAGAAACAAGGAAAUCGAAAACUGAAGAUGUGAGAUCCAGAUCGAGGCCCAGCCCCGCCUCCUCGGGGACCCUUGGCCCAAGCCAGGGAUGUGGGGACCCAGGGGACAGCAGCGCCCUGUCCCUGGGUCUAGCGCUGUGGGUGUCCCAGCCUUGCCUGCCCCGCGGUUCCGGCCUGCCGCAGCCACCUGCUGACCCAUUUCCGGGGAGCCGCUCUGGGCGGCUUCAGGUUUGUGCCAGGAAAUGGAAGUCCCCACCUCUGCCCAGAGGCCUCUGGGACCGUCCCCACCCCAGCCUGUGGGCCCCUGACAGCCUUCCCAGCUGCAGGAGCCGGUGAAUAGUUGAGUGGUCACGCCUGUCAUCCCAGCAUCAGGAGACUGAGCCAGGAGGAUCGCCCCAAGUCCGAGGCCAGCCUGUUACACAGGGAGUUCAAGGCCAGCCUGCACUACACAGCGAGACCCUGCGUCAAUAAACAACCAAGGUGGAAGUUCAUGGGCUGAAGACCCAGCAGCCCAAAACAAAUUCACCAACGGGUCAGUGUGGACCCCGUGGUCCUGAGAUGAUCAGAGGACUCCGGGAUCCGCCCCACCACCACCAUGAGACUCAAGUCGGCAGACGUGGGCCCUUCCCUCUGUGCACCUGGUGGCCCGCGGGGGUGACACAUGGGGCCAUCAGCUGGUGACAAAGGUGAGAGGAACUCACAGGGAGAGAAGGGAAGGCCAGGAGGGGGUCAGAGGGCCCAAGACAGCAGCAAAGAGGGUGGGGGCAGAUGCCUGAAGGAAGGGCUGCCCCAGGGUGGUGAUUCCAGGCCUGUGGGAGAAUAGCUCAGAGGAGGCCUGGAGUGGAGUGGAGAGGCCCACAGAGGGAUCUGAGGGCUGCCCAGAGCCUAAGCAGCUGAAGUGCUUAGGGUCCUUGAAACCGAACACUGCUCUACCUGCCUCAGUUCCCCACCAGCAUCCAGACCCCAGAGGACACAGGAAGCUCAAGUUUGCGGACCAGCCUGGUUUCCCCCACAUCUCCAGUGGCUGCCUAUGGCAGCCCGUUUCCACGUCACCCUCCACUGCGUCCGGUGUGCCCACUUGUGUGGCACCCCCACCCUCCCAGGGGACACUGGGGUUGCUGUGGACAUGGAGAGAGCAUCCAGGUCCUCUGUGUAAAAAUAAGCCCCCCCCCCAGGAGGGGGCGGCUGUGACGGUGCAGGCUGCGGUG
RNAcentral lists this long non-coding RNA (2804 nucleotides) under Heterocephalus glaber (naked mole-rat). Its description in RNAcentral is "lncRNA (ENSHGLG00000040293.1)". The record is from RNAcentral. Lineage: Eukaryota; Metazoa; Chordata; Mammalia; Rodentia; Bathyergidae.